GACGAACGCUGGCGGCGUGCUUAACACAUGCAAGUCGAACGGACAGGCCCUGCUUUUGUGGGGUGCUCGAGUGCCGAACGGGUGAGUAACACGUGAGUAUCCUGCCCUUGACUUUGUGAUAACUCCAGGAAACUGGGGCUCUUACCGGAUAUGAGCUCCUGCUGCACGGUGUUGGUUGGAAAGUUUCGGCGGUUGUGGAUGUACUCGCUGCUUAUCAGCUUGUUUGUGGGGUAGUGGCUUACCAAGGCUUUGACGGGUAGCCGGCCUGAGAGGGUGACCGGCGUCCUGGGGCCUGAGAUACGGCCCAGACUGGUACGGGAGGCAGCAGGGGGGAAUAUUGCAGAAUGGGCGGAAGCCUGAUGCAGAAGCGCCGCGUGCGGGAAGACGGCCUUCGGGGUGUAAACCGCUUUCGCCUGUGACGAAGCGUGAGUGACGGUAAUGGGUAAGGAAGCACCGGCUAACUACGUG
This 468-nucleotide ribosomal RNA is filed under the name uncultured bacterium. RNAcentral's name for it is "partial 16S ribosomal RNA". It matches the Rfam family "Bacterial small subunit ribosomal RNA", at positions 28 to 507 of the family's 1533-position model. The record is from RNAcentral.